Molecule: transfer RNA, 87 nt
Filed under: Clostridia bacterium
Lineage: Bacteria; Bacillati; Bacillota; Clostridia
Description: tRNA-Leu
Rfam family: tRNA
About the family: Transfer RNA (tRNA) molecules are approximately 80 nucleotides in length. Their secondary structure includes four short double-helical elements and three loops (D, anti-codon, and T loops).
Source: RNAcentral
GCGGGCGUGGCGGAACUGGCAUUCGCGCAGGACUUAGGAUCCUGUGGGCGCAAGCCCUUGGGGGUUCAAAUCCCUCCGCCCGCACCA